UGGGGAAUUUUGGACAAUGGGCGAAAGCCUGAUCCAGCAAUGCCGCGUGUGUGAAGAAGGCCUUCGGGUUGUAAAGCACUUUUGUCCGGAAAGAAAUCCUUGGCUCUAAUACAGUCGGGGGAUGCGGUACCGGAAGAAUAAGCACCGGCUAACUACGUGCCAGCAGCCGCGGGUAAUACGUAGGGUGCAAGCGUUAAUCGGAAUUACUGGGCGUAAAGCGUGCGCAGGCGGUUUGCUAAGACCGAUGUGAAAUCCCCGGGCUCAACCUGGGAACUGCAUUGGUGACUGGCAGGCUAGAGUAUGGCAGAGGGGGGUAGAAUUCCACGUGUAGCAGUGAAAUGCGUAGAGAUGUGGAGGAAUACCGAUGGCGAAGGCAGCCCCCUGGGCAAUACUGACGCUCAUGCACGAAAGCGUGGGGAGCAAACAGGAUUAGAUACCCUGGUAGUCCACGCCCUAAACGAUGUCAACUAGUUGUUGGGGAUUCAUUUCCUUAGUAACGUAGCUAACGCGUGAAGUUGACCGCCUGGGGAGUACGGUCGCAAGAUUAAAACUCAAGGAAUUGACGGGGUCAUAGCUGUUCCU
Molecule: ribosomal RNA, 582 nt
Filed under: uncultured bacterium
Lineage: Bacteria
Description: partial 16S ribosomal RNA
Rfam family: Bacterial small subunit ribosomal RNA
Source: RNAcentral